Molecule: long non-coding RNA, 3811 nt
Organism: Cryptomeria japonica (Japanese cedar)
Lineage: Eukaryota; Viridiplantae; Streptophyta; Pinopsida; Cupressales; Cupressaceae
Exons: 5
Source: RefSeq, a predicted model, not a curated record
UCUGUAACUCUAUACACCUAUUUUAUUCACUAUUUCGCAACCUCCAUGAGACCAUCUCAACAAUAGAUACAAGCAGAUUUCUCGGUUACUCCAAAUCACAACAAACGUCACUCUGUUUCCUUAUACAGAAGGCACAUAUUAAAUCAUUGGCAGGGACGAAAUUGAGAAUGUCUUGAGCCUUCAUAUUGUGAAAAUCUUAAUAACCUGUUUUACUUUUGCUUUCCAUCGUUCUCUUCAAAAUUCCAGCAAGAAGACUUCAUAUUCCUCAAGUUGACAACAACCCACUAUUAAACGUUACUCAUCUUCAGAGCAAUCACUUAGGUCCAAAAUUCCUCCUCUUCAAUUCGUUAACGAUGCUACUGACAACUUGUGUUUUUAAAUCUACAUUCGUCAUUUGCAUGCUUAAAUUAUUGUUUAAGGGUGCGUGCAGCCAGGUACGGGCCAAAAUACAUCAUUAGAUGGUUGGAGUACUUUGUAAUGACUACAAAAUCAAUGCCCAAAAUUAGACCUCGAAUUUCUCCUCUUUGGGCAGCCAAGACCACCGGGGUUUGAUCCCAGAAUGAUGGACGGCUCUCAAUCAGAAUCCAAGAGGCUAAAUUGUGAGCAUGCUUAAUUUGCACCGUAUAUCUUUCAGAACAUUCUUAACUCCAAACCCCGUAAAUAAUCACAUCAAUCAAAACCAUGCUGAAGUCAGAUCUGGCCCGCUUUCAGAAGGUGGUUAAUCUAUUAUGCCCCAUGAAUAAUUAUGUUUGUCCUCGGUUAGCGAGAGAGUAGACAAGAGAGGCCGCUAUUCGAGUCGACCGAAAUUGACUGCAAGACCCCCGGAGAUUUAGUCGCAAUAAUACUGAACUGGCCUGAACCGGAGUUUCACCGGGGUUGGUCACGUAUGCCCGUGCAUACAUGAUUCAUAAUAAACUGCAGAGAGGGAUUCAUUUCACAAAGGUUAAACAUGUUCACGAUAACUGGUUUUCUGUUGUGAGGUUGAGUCAAGAAUACACUCAAAAGCCAAGGAUCUAUUCUUUUAUUGAAUGAAUUUAGCAGGUAUGGAUAUUUGUAUUGUGUCUAUGUUAGCUGCUUCUUGCAUUGCUUUUUGAGCUUCCUCAUGGGCUUUGAGCAGGCGUUGCUCUUUUAUGAUCGGUUGAGCGGAUUGAGGAUGGGUACUAGCAUGGUUUAUACAGUCAAGCAGAAAGUAGGUGCAAGCCAUAUUUCCUACACUGAAUCAUGUUGAACCCAAAUGAAAUUUUCGUAUCGUGUUCAAAUUCAAGCUAAAAUUUGUCUUUCCGUCAAGUCACGAUCCACGUUUUCAAAGCUUGGUCACGGUUCUCUUCUUUGUUUCUAAUUGCAAAAUCUGCCCAGGGAUUGAAAAGGCUUUAGAAUUUUUUGUCACAAGGUUGGGAUACAAGUGAACACCAGCCAAAACCAAAGUCAUAAAAGAAGAGCGCUCUUCCUUGUCUCCAUGCGAAACUUUCUUGGCACAGGACCUUUGUUUGAGCAAAUAUUUCCUUGGCAUGGGGUUCUUCUCUGGUUGGCGUGAGCUCUCUGAGGUCGUGGGUCUCUACUAAGUCAUUCCGCCCCUGCUGUGGGUGAUUGUUGAGGUUGAGCUGGGCUUGCAAAAGGUUUUGAUGCAGGUUUCGGUAGGGACGUGGGAAGAACUGAACUACACCUGGCUGACCAUUCAUUUAUAGUUGAUGCUCAUUAAUAUAUUUCAAAACAUUGUUCAAAUUUGAGUCUUAAUGCAGUAUUGAAGGCUGCGUGGGUUGCUGCAAGUUAGUGUGGGAGAAUCGACUCAUUUCAUUGAUUAAGUGGUUGCUGGAAACUGUUCUUAGUUGAGCGCAUGGGUCCAAGUUGGACAUGGGCAUUCAACAGGAGGCAGAACUAUUAAUGAGCGCUACAAUAUGUAUGUUCUGGUACAACAAUUCUAAGUCAAGCUGAUUAUAUGCAAUUUUCUAUAUACCCUGGUAAUUUGGCAUCAGCUGCAAAUGAAGGCUUGGAUGUGAUCUUAUUCUCCAGAGCAUUCACAAGUAUCUGAAAUUAGCUAUAUGUCUGUGCUGAUUACUGAUGAAGUUUCAGAUCUGAGAAGAAGUUUAUAUCUUCUUUUGUCCUAUGCGUGGAGAUCCCUUGCUGGUCAUUCUGUAUUUGCAGGUUAUUCUUCCAGAACUGAGGUCGGGCCUGGGUGUGUAUGUUAAGGGUUAGACAUUGCCAAACAUUUCAGGAUUGAGACAACCUUGGCAGGGCGUAUACUCCUAUUUUCUUACAGUGGAAGAUCAACUUGGCUACAUCUUGAUCGUAAAGUCCCUGACUGUCCAAGACAAUGUAUGCUGGAAUAUAUAUUUGCUGAAGACUCAUUGCUGAGUUCUGUGUGUGAAGUCAAAACUAUAUUAUUCAGGAUAUCUGCAGCUGCUCAUAAACUUUCAAUUUACAGUAUUUUAUAUUACUUCAUCGUGAAAUGAUUGCUCUCCAAUAAGUGUCUCACACUUAUGCAAUAUCAAAUUAAGGGUAGCCUGCUGCCAGAUGGAAAUGUCAGGUCAAUUCUGGAUCCAACAAAAACCGGUGGCAAACAGGCAGAGAUGGCAGGGCAGAUGAGUAGUGGUGGGACUGUCAGUAAGCCACUGUACAGGAAUGUGCGAGGGUGAUGCCUGCAAUGGCUAUGCAAUUAUAUAUAAUGAUUAUAGUUUAUACAGAUAUUUGCUAAACUCUUUCUCUUUGAGUUCAUUGUUGUGUGUGACUGACUGAGUUUACAUAAUGAAUGAGAAACUGGAUGGACCAUUGAUGAGAAAAACACCUCAGGAAUCUUAAUAGCAACAUUUUCAUCUUAUGCAUCCCAACAUCCAUUGGAAAGAAAUCGUAUUUGACUUUAAUGUUGAAUAAAAUAUAUUUGAGUUGACAAGAUCAAAACAUAACACACACAAGUCUUUUUGUAAAAUACAUUAAAAUUUACUUAGAUUACAUUCCAAUCAUUAACUUUUUGAAAUCCAUUAUUCCCCACCAAUCUAAAUACAAGACUGAGAAUAAGCUUCUACAAUUAUCAAUACAGAUGUAAUGUCCCCUUCUCCUUAGCAUAUGGACAUUCACGAGGUUGGCCUAUAUUUGACCCUCGUAGGCCAAGGAGUUGUUUAGGGGGUCGACAUGGCGGUGAUUGGUGACUUCACAUCUCUUUAUGAUUUGAUAUUUUGAUGUUAUAAGGAGAUAACACAUAUCAGGAGACGUGUGAGUUUUAUUUAAUUAAUAAAUUAAAGGUACAUUAAAAUAACAUGUUUAAUUAAAUAAUAUAAAGUGUACCUACCCUUAUCUUCUACAAGGUGAUUGUGAUGAGUUAUGUAAUGAAUAAAUAGAAGGGGAACACAUGUUGGAUCAUCAGUUGUUCAUGUUAUCUCUUGUUGAGUUGUGAAGACACAAGUUGUCCGCAAAAGAUCUUGGGGAACAAUACCUCCCUUUGGUCAGCAUAACUGAGGAGGUGGAAGAUCCUCUGAAGGGUUGCGAAGAGAGUGGGGAGCAUUCAGCUUUCCACAGUGAGCAUAAGGAGUUUUAUAUCAGAUUAUGGUAGUACUUCAGACUUGCAGAUUUGAGGGUUCACUUUGUGUGAUGGUGUAGGCUUCCCUUGGGCCUAACUAGACAGUGAUAUUCCUUUGGCAUCUAGGCGAUAUCCAUUGAUGAUUUGUGGGGUUACAUCGAAGCAUAUAUAGUGCUGUCAUCCUAUUAGUUGCAGAACCUGGAUUCCCACGAUUUUGUUCAUGCCACCUUCAACAUGCAUCGAUUUUGACUAGUAUUGAUUCCUAAAUUCAUAGGAAGGAGAGGCGAUACCAUUGGGAUA